UACGAAGGGUGCAAACGUUGCUCGGAAUUAUUGGGCGUAAAGCGCACGUAGGCGGCCUUGCAAGUCGGAUGUGAAAUCCCUCGGCUCAACCGAGGACGUGCAUCCGAAACUGCAGGGCUUGAGUACAGAAGAGGAUCGCGGAAUUCCCGGUGUAGAGGUGAAAUUCGUAGAUAUCGGGAGGAACACCAGUGGCGAAGGCGGCGAUCUGGGCUGAUACUGACGCUGAGGUGCGAAAGCGUGGGGAGCAAACAGG
Molecule: ribosomal RNA, 253 nt
Filed under: uncultured bacterium
Lineage: Bacteria
Description: partial 16S ribosomal RNA
Rfam family: Bacterial small subunit ribosomal RNA
Source: RNAcentral